UAAAUAAAUGAAAUCAAGAAA
This 21-nucleotide non-coding RNA is filed under the name Caenorhabditis elegans. Lineage: Eukaryota; Metazoa; Nematoda; Chromadorea; Rhabditida; Rhabditidae. The record is from RNAcentral.